GAUGAACGCUGGCGGCGUGCUUAACACAUGCAAGUCGAACGGGAAACCUUUUAUUGAAGCUUCGGCAGAUUUAGCUGGUUUCUAGUGGCGGACGGGUGAGUAACGCGUGGGUAACCUGCCCUAUACAGGGGGAUAACAACCAGAAAUGGUUGCUAAUACCGCAUAAGCGCACAGGGCCGCAUGGUCCGGUGUGAAAAACUCCGGUGGUAUAGGAUGGACCCGCGUUGGAUUAGCCAGUUGGCAGGGUAACGGCCUACCAAAGCGACGAUCCAUAGCCGGCCUGAGAGGGUGAACGGCCACAUUGGGACUGAGACACGGCCCAGACUCCUACGGGAGGCAGCAGUGGGGAAUAUUGCACAAUGGGGGAAACCCUGAUGCAGCGACGCCGCGUGAAGGAAGAAGUAACUCGGUAUGUAAACUUCUAUCAGCAGGGAAGAUAGUGACGGUACCUGACCAAGAAGCCCCGGCUAACUACGUG
RNAcentral lists this ribosomal RNA (478 nucleotides) under uncultured bacterium. RNAcentral's name for it is "partial 16S ribosomal RNA". It matches the Rfam family "Bacterial small subunit ribosomal RNA", at positions 28 to 507 of the family's 1533-position model. The record is from RNAcentral.